GCGUCUGUUCCGAAUUUAGUUUGUGAGACCGUUGUCUGACCCGGCUGCGAGGCAUUUUGACGGCUGGAUUGUGAUUCCUGUCGUCGUGGGUUCGAGUCCCAUCAGCCACCCCA
This 113-nucleotide transfer RNA is filed under the name Paraburkholderia sp. CI2. RNAcentral describes it as "tRNA-His". The record is from RNAcentral. Lineage: Bacteria; Pseudomonadati; Pseudomonadota; Betaproteobacteria; Burkholderiales; Burkholderiaceae.